UCUACGGGAGGCAGCAGUGAGGAAUAUUGGUCAAUGGACGCAAGCCUGAACCAGCCAUGCCGCGUGCAGGAAGACGGCUCUAUGAGUUGUAAACUGCUUUUGUACGAGGGUAAACGCAGACACGCGUAUCUGUCUGAAAGUAUCUUAUGAAUAAGGAUCGGCUAACUCCGUGCCAGCAGCCGCGGUAAUACGGAGGAUCCGAGCGUUAUCCGGAUUUAUUGGGUUUAAAGGGUGCGUAGGCGGGUGGAUAAGUUAGAGGUGAAAUCCCGCGGCUCAACUUUGGAAUUGCAACUGAUACUGGCAGGCUAGAGAGUAGUUGAGGUAGGCGGAAUGUGUGGUGUAGCGGUGAAAUGCUUAGAGAUCAUACAGAACACCGAUUGCGAAGGCAGCUUACCAAGCUACUUCUGACAUUGAGGCACGAAAGCGUGGGGAGCAAACAGGAUUAGAUACCCCGGUAGUC
RNAcentral lists this ribosomal RNA (460 nucleotides) under uncultured bacterium. RNAcentral's name for it is "partial 16S ribosomal RNA". It matches the Rfam family "Bacterial small subunit ribosomal RNA", at positions 338 to 795 of the family's 1533-position model. The record is from RNAcentral.